UAAGGAAUAUUGGUCAAUGGACGCAAGUCUGAACCAGCCAUGCCGCGUGAAGGAUGAAGGUCCUCUGGAUUGUAAACUUCUUUUAUCUGGGACGAAAACGGGAUUUUUAUCUCAAUUGACGGUACCAGAGGAAUAAGCACCGGCUAACUCCGUGCCAGCAGCCGCGGUAAUACGGAGGGUGCGAGCGUUAUCCGGAUUUACUGGGUUUAAAGGGUGCGUAGGUGGGCUUAUAAGUCAGUGGUGAAAUCUCCGAGCUUAACUUGGAAACUGCCGUUGAUACUAUAGGUCUUGAAUUAUCUGGAUGUAAGCGGAAUAUGUCAUGUAGCGGUGAAAUGCUUAGAUAUGACAUAGAACACCAAUUGCGAAGGCAGCUUACUACAUAUAAAUUGACGCUG
This 395-nucleotide ribosomal RNA is filed under the name uncultured bacterium. RNAcentral's name for it is "bacterial SSU rRNA". It matches the Rfam family "Bacterial small subunit ribosomal RNA", at positions 355 to 748 of the family's 1533-position model. The record is from RNAcentral.